This 307-nucleotide non-coding RNA is filed under the name Alligator mississippiensis (American alligator). RNAcentral describes it as "Eukaryotic small subunit ribosomal RNA". It matches the Rfam family "Eukaryotic small subunit ribosomal RNA", at positions 57 to 348 of the family's 1831-position model. Lineage: Eukaryota; Metazoa; Chordata; Crocodylia; Alligatoridae. The record is from Rfam by way of RNAcentral.
GUCUAAGUACACAUGGCUGGGACAGUGAAACUGUGAAUGGCUCAUUAAAUCAAUUAUGGUUCCUUUGGUCGCUCCAACUGUUACUUGGAUAACUGUGGUAAUUCUAGAGCUAAUACAUGCCGACGAGCUUUUUAACUGCAGCAACUUUAAUAUACGCUAUUGGAGAUGGAAUUACCGCGGCUGCUGGCACCAGACUUGCCCUCCAAUAGAUCCUCAUUAAAGGAUUUAAAGUGUACUCAUUCCAAUUACAGGGCCUCAAAAGAGUCCUGUAUUGUUAUUUUUUGUCACUACCUCCCCGGGUUGGGAG